UACGUAGGGGGCAAGCGUUGUCCGGAAUCAUUGGGCGUAAAGAGCGUGUAGGCGGCUCGAUAAGUCCGCUCUGAAAGCCCCGGGGCUCAACCCCGGGAGGCGGGCGGAUACUGUCGAGCUAGAGUCCGGAAGAGGCGAGUGGAAUUCCUGGUGUAGCGGUGAAAUGCGCAGAUAUCAGGAGGAACACCAAUGGCGAAGGCAGCUCGCUGGGACGGUACUGACGCUGAGACGCGAAAGCGUGGGGAGCAAACAGG
Molecule: ribosomal RNA, 254 nt
Filed under: uncultured bacterium
Lineage: Bacteria
Description: partial 16S ribosomal RNA
Rfam family: Bacterial small subunit ribosomal RNA
Source: RNAcentral